AUUGAACGCUGGCGGCAUGCUUUACACAUGCAAGUCGAACGGUAACAGGCCUUCGGGUGCUGACGAGUGGCGAACGGGUGAGUAAUGCAUCGGAACGUACCCAGAGGUGGGGGAUAACGCAGCGAAAGCUGUGCUAAUACCGCAUGUGAUCUGAGGAUGAAAGCGGGGGACCGAGCAGCAAUGUUUGGCCUCGCGCCUUUGGAGCGGCCGAUGUCGGAUUAGCUAGUUGGUGGGGUAAAGGCCUACCAAGGCGACGAUCCGUAGCUGGUCUGAGAGGACGACCAGCCACACUGGGACUGAGACGCGGCACAGACUCCUACGGGAGGCAGCAGUGGGGAAUUUUGGACAAUGGGCGCAAGCCUGAUCCAGCAAUGCCGCGUGCGGGAAGAAGGCCUUCGGGUUGUAAACCGCUUUUGGCAGGAACGAAACGGUGUCCGCUAAUACCGGGCGCUAAUGACGGUACCUGCAGAAUAAGCACCGGCUAACUACGU
RNAcentral lists this ribosomal RNA (491 nucleotides) under uncultured bacterium. Its description in RNAcentral is "partial 16S ribosomal RNA". It matches the Rfam family "Bacterial small subunit ribosomal RNA", at positions 29 to 506 of the family's 1533-position model. The record is from RNAcentral.